This 443-nucleotide ribosomal RNA is filed under the name uncultured bacterium. RNAcentral's name for it is "bacterial SSU rRNA". It matches the Rfam family "Bacterial small subunit ribosomal RNA", at positions 28 to 454 of the family's 1533-position model. The record is from RNAcentral.
GAUGAACGNNGGCGGCGUGCUUAACACAUGCAAGUCGAACGAGAAGUGGAGACGGAAACCUUCGGGCGGAAGACUUUACUUCGAGUGGCGGACGGGUGAGUAACGCGUGGGUAACCUGCCUCAUACAGGGGGAUAACAGUUGGAAACGACUGUUAAUACCGCAUAAGACCACAGCACCGCAUGGUGCGGGGGUAAAAACUCCGGUGGUAUGAGAUGGACCCGCGUUCGAUUAGCCAGUUGGCGGGGUAACGGCCCACCAAAGCGACGAUCGAUAGCCGAUCUGAGAGGAUGACCGGCCACAUUGGGACUGAGACACGGCCCAAACUCCUACGGGAGGCAGCAGUGGGGAAUAUUGCACAAUGGGGGAAACCCUGAUGCAGCGACGCCGCGUGAGUGAAGAAGUAUUUCGGUAUGUAAAGCUCUNUCAGCAGGGAAGAAAANGA